Arabidopsis thaliana (thale cress) is the source of this 213-nucleotide long non-coding RNA. RefSeq annotates it as other RNA. Lineage: Eukaryota; Viridiplantae; Streptophyta; Magnoliopsida; Brassicales; Brassicaceae. The record is from RefSeq. The transcript has a single exon.
CUUUCUCUCUAUCUUAAGAUUCCAUUCCAAUCUUCAAACCUACUCCAAUUGAGAGAAAAAAAAAAAACAUUCUUUGUGAGUUACUGAAUUCUGUUUUAACAGCAUCUGUUACUGUUGUCUCCAUCGAAUUACUAUGCCUUACGUAACUGAAUUGAAAAGUUAGGUAACGGUCUGAUAAGUGUUCGAGCUAGUGAGACACAAAACCUACCAAAG